Molecule: transfer RNA, 77 nt
Filed under: Acinetobacter baumannii
Lineage: Bacteria; Pseudomonadati; Pseudomonadota; Gammaproteobacteria; Moraxellales; Moraxellaceae
Also listed under: 2 other names
Description: tRNA-Ile
Rfam family: tRNA
About the family: Transfer RNA (tRNA) molecules are approximately 80 nucleotides in length. Their secondary structure includes four short double-helical elements and three loops (D, anti-codon, and T loops).
Source: RNAcentral
GGGCCUGUAGCUCAGUUGGUUAGAGCAGCGGACUCAUAAUCCGUUGGUCGACAGUUCAAGUCUGUCUGGGCCCACCA